UCCUCAUUAGCUCAAUGGUAGAGUGGUCGGCUACUAACUGAUUGGUCGUAGGUUGGAAUCCUACUUGGGGAG
RNAcentral lists this transfer RNA (72 nucleotides) under Olea europaea subsp. europaea. It matches the Rfam family "tRNA". Rfam says of the family: Transfer RNA (tRNA) molecules are approximately 80 nucleotides in length. Their secondary structure includes four short double-helical elements and three loops (D, anti-codon, and T loops). The record is from Rfam by way of RNAcentral. Lineage: Eukaryota; Viridiplantae; Streptophyta; Magnoliopsida; Lamiales; Oleaceae.